RNAcentral lists this ribosomal RNA (712 nucleotides) under uncultured Candidatus Babelota bacterium. Its description in RNAcentral is "bacterial SSU rRNA". It matches the Rfam family "Bacterial small subunit ribosomal RNA", at positions 58 to 768 of the family's 1533-position model. The record is from RNAcentral.
CAAGUCGAACGAGAAAGCCCCUUCGGGGGUGAGUAGAGUGGCGAACGGGUGAGUAACGCGUGAGAAUUUUCCUUUCAGUGAAGAAUACCCCCGAGAAAUCGGGGCUAAUACUGCAUAAUUCCCUUCGGGGACAAAGAUGGCCUCUUUGCUGUCGCUGAAAGAUAAGCUUGCGUACUAUUAGCUAGUUGGUAGGGUAAAGGCCUACCAAGGCGAUGAUGGUUAGCCGACCUGAGAGGGUGAUCGGCCACAUUGGGACUGAGAUACGGCCCAGACUCCUACGGGAGGCAGCAGUGGGGAAUAUUGCACAAUGGACGAAAGUCUGAUGCAGCGACGCCGCGUGGAGGAUGAAGGUCUUCGGAUUGUAAACUCCUGUUAAGAGGGAAAAAAGAAUCGUGGGUAAUAUCCACGGAAGAUGAUGGUACCUCUAGAGAAAGCUCCGGCUAACUUCGUGCCAGCAGCCGCGGUAAUACGAAGGGAGCAAGCGUUAUUCGGAAUUACUGGGCGUAAAGGGCGCGUANGCGGUCUGCUAAGUCAGUUGUUAAAUCCCAUGGCUUACCCAUGGAAAUGCGAUUGAUACUGGCGGACUAGAGGGNCAGAGAGAAGGGUGGAAUUCUCGGAGUAGCGGUAGAAUGCGUAGAUCUCGAGAGGAACACCGAUGGCGAAGGCAGCUCUUUGGCUUGACCCUGACGCUGAGGCGCGAAAGCGUGGGGAG